AUGGAUUGGUCGGGAAGCACCCCACGCAGUCCCGGCAAAGCCCCAGCACCGCACGCAUGUACGGGUUCGUCUUGUAGCCACCGCCGUCGGUUUGCCGGCAAGGAUUCGGCCGGCCGGCCGCCAGGCUCGGCGCUCGCUCGGCGGCUCAUCGACUCGCCGAUGCCGCUCAUACAGUGCGACGACUGCACGCGGACAGUGCUGCAGCUAACUUCUGGCACGCGAAAGCACCAUGGAUGGGUGUUCUUCAAAUACGAAAACGACGGGGAAGAUGGAUGCUCAUUUUGGUUUUGGGAAGGAGAAUACAUUGAUUUACUGAUAGAAAGAAAUUUAAUAGAUGUUCAUGCACUCCUUAGUAGAACUGAGGCUAAUGAUAUGGCUGCAUCCUGGACUAUAUAUGCCAUGAACUACUGGGAGUAUGAACUUUUUAAGCUGACCAUCUUUAUUCAAAGCAGGGCGCGGCAACCGGUGGGUGGGGAGGCACAACGAGUAGUGCGCGAUGGCCGGCGGGUGGGGAGGCACAACGAGCAGCGCCCGGCGGCCGGCGGGUUUAAUGUGGACACUUAUUUGCAUGCAGCUCAAAGAUCUGAUGAUAUGAAUAGCAGCAAGAUCCAAAUUUGCUUGUGCCAAAAGAAUCCUCCACCAUGCCCAAAUGGUUUGUGCUUCUGUUGUGCAUUGGAGCAAGAUAAAUGCUUUAGAACCAGCCAAGAAUGCAUUUGUGGUUCUGCUUGCCCUCCUUUAGAAGCAACCUCCCCUCAUCCCCUCCCUUUGCCUUAA
RNAcentral lists this ribosomal RNA (774 nucleotides) under Triticum aestivum (bread wheat). Its description in RNAcentral is "partial small subunit ribosomal RNA". The record is from RNAcentral. Lineage: Eukaryota; Viridiplantae; Streptophyta; Magnoliopsida; Poales; Poaceae.